Molecule: transfer RNA, 65 nt
Filed under: Elateroidea sp. AH-2016
Lineage: Eukaryota; Metazoa; Arthropoda; Insecta; Coleoptera
Description: tRNA-Tyr
Source: RNAcentral
AGUAGGAUGGCUGAGUUAGGCGAUAAAUUGUAAAUUUAUUUACGGAAUUAUUAUUUCUUCUACUA